AUGCGCGAGCCUCUCGCCUUUCCAGACCGAGUCACAUUCGCCCACGGCCCAGGCCUGAAGCCCCAAGAAGCCGCCACGCGAUCUCCGGCCCCGACCCAUCCCGCUAAGAGACAAGGUUCCGAAGUCCGGGGACCUCGUCGGACCCGCGCAUCAGUUUCCAUCCCCCCUCGACCCCUCGGCGACCCUCCCCGAACUCCCGACAGCCAACCAUUCAGCCCCAGCACCGCGUUUCGUCCAUCCCCUGCUCCAGCAGGGGAGCGUGACGGUCGCCGCGUCCAGUGCAACCAGGAAACUGGAAGCCGGAAGUGGGGCCGGGCGCCGGAAGUAACACUGCCAAGCGCCUCAAUCGAGUACCGACAAAUCAAGAAGUCGAGCCCGGAGUGGAUCGAUAAGCCACAGUCUCCAAGGCGGCAGUUGAGAAUCCUUCCGCGCACACGCACGUCUCUCUGGCUGGAAGAAGAGAUUCUCCUCCAUUAUAGGUUAUUACAAAAUAUUGAAUAUAGUUCCCUGUGCUAUAUGUCGAAGGUUCUAAAUAAGACUGGUCAGCUUAGAAGCCUGAAAGAGAUUUGUUCUAAGUUAUUUCCUCAUGACUGAAAUUGCAAACGUCAGAUUCCAUUACAAGUGGCAAAGACAAGAGCUCCUCUCUGGCUUCAUUCAGCACAAGGUGGCCCAGAAGUCUGUGCCCUCAGACUUGGGGACCCUCUUAUAUUUAUUGAGCACCUACAACAUCCUGAAUCCUCUUAGGUACUAAAGACAUGACAGUAGCUGAAGAAGCAUAGAUGUGCCACCUGCUGUCACAGGGAUUCUGAUGUCUCUGAUGUGUCAGACCAAAAGUCAAUGUUUGUGCAUGGUGAGUAGCUACUGUGGAUAACAAACUUACCCCAGACUUAUGGUUUAAGACAACUGUUUGAUUAUGUCUCAUUGCCUCUCUGGGUCAGGAAUUCAGUCAGGGUGUGGCUUGGUGGUUCUUCUUUCUUCUACUCCUUCUGGAGCCACCUAAGUCACUCAGUGGGGCUCAGGUGGCAGGUGGGUUGGUCUAGAGGAUCCCAACAGUUGCACUUACAUGUCUGGUAGCAUGAGUGGCUAAAGACUGAGCUCACAAGGGACUGUCAACUGAAGCAACCAGGCAUGGUGUUUCCAGAACCUGGUGGUCUCAGGGCCAAUGACUUUCUUAUAUAGGGGCAGGUUUCCCCAUACCAAGCAUCCUAGGAAAGCUAGGUGGAAGCUACAUGAUCUUUUUGGACCUAGACUGGAGAGUCAUACAACAAAACUUUAAAAAAUUUCUUGUUGAUUACAAGUGAGUCAUAAGGCCAGCCUAAAUUCAAGGGGAAGGAAACUGAAUUCCAUUUGUUGGUGUGGGAAUGGCAAAUUCACACUGUAGAAAACUUGUGGGAAGGGAGAUACUACUAUGGCCAUCUUUAUUUUAUAUUGAAAAAAAUUGUAGUUAGAGUUACCUGGACUCAGUUUAGAUGAUCCCAAGUUUGUUGGUGACACCCUAAGCAUCAUAAUGGAGAGCUAGUCAAACAUAUGCAUUCUUCUCUCCAUCAGCCCUGAUCUGGUUUUGACCUUGGCCACAUCAAUGUCAUAGAACAUCUUCACAGCCCAUUUUGUCUGGUGCUCAUUGGCUUUGACAUCCACAACGAGCAUGAACCAGUGAGUUGUUGUCUUCUCUCUCCUUCACUAGAGUGUUCUCUCUCCUUCACCUGGAGUGUUCCCCAGGCAAAGUAAAUACUUCUUACAAAGGCCCUGAGAUUAAAAGAAAUUAUUUGCCAAAUUUGAAUAACUAUAAAAAGAAAAAGAAAAGAGCAGUAUAGCUGGAUCAGAUCAUGUAGCAUCUUGAAAGCCAUGAUUUAGAUGCUAUGCCAAGAGCAAUAGAAGUCAGAUGUUCAAAAAAAAGAAGUCAGAUGUUCAAGCAGAGGAGGAACAUGAUCUGAGGCUUUGUGUGGAUCUUUCUGAAUAAAUUGGAGGGGUCAAGUCUGGGCCAGUUAGGAAAUUGCUGCAAUAUUCAACUGAUGAUGAGGUUAGGCUGAAUUAAUGUGGCAUCAGAGAAAUAGACAUUUAAAUGCUGUUUUCUUUUUUCUUUUGGGGGCCACACCUGUAGCAUAUGGAAGUUCCCAGGGCAGGGGUCAAAUCAGAGCUACAGCAGCUGGCCUACACUACAGCCACA
Sus scrofa (pig) is the source of this 2167-nucleotide non-coding RNA. NCBI's taxonomy places the organism in Eukaryota, Metazoa, Chordata, Mammalia, Artiodactyla, Suidae. The record is from RefSeq and is a predicted model, not a curated record.